CUAGAUUUGUUGUCGUAUACACAAGUUGUUACAUAUCUGUUACACAAGAUAAUACAUUCAUAUAAUAGUUCACAGACAACUUUCGGAGGUAUGAUUGUGCUCCAAGAUAUUAUUGAUGUGCUUGCCAGAUUUGAAAACCACAAUCGUGAUAGCAGAGGAAAAUUAUUUGAUAAAAAUGAUAAUGAUCGAGCGAUGAUAUUUAUUCUGAAAACAAUCGUGAUAUUUGCAGAGUCAUUUCGAUUCAGAUCCAUAUACCUUGUUGUGAGAUUAAGGAUUCGGGAUGACGAGAAUUCAUCUGAGAUUGAUUGUAACUACUGGCUCCUGCUUCAUGACUGUGGUCAUUAUUUACGGCACUUGAUGGCACUAUGCCAAGAAGGGUCGCUGUCAGGUUUGAAUACUGUCGCUAUAGCAUAUUUCUAGGAAAUCAAAGUUAGAAGACCUGGAUCAGAUAAACUGAAAGUCCUUGGCACACUAGUCAAUCCGAUAGGAUCUAAAGGCAGUUGUUGCUUGUAAGAUCAUAUAACAUAUUGAUACUUAGUAAUGAGGAGCUGACUAAGCUGGAGAAGCGGCCGGACGUAAUCCAGUACCAGUUCUAGAAACAGGAUUUCAGGAUGUAGUUUUGCCGAAUGAACCCGAUGAUCCUGAGGUUCUGUGAAUAGUUGUUAAUGCUGUGUUCUGAUUUCAGGAUGUACUUUUGCCGGAUUAACCUGGUGAUCUUGAGACUGAAAAUAGUUGCUGCUGCUGUGUUCUGUAUGCGUUGACUUAUCUUAACCUUUUGAUGUAACCAUUAGUUGAGUAUUGCUUAAUGGCAAGUAAUGCGUACAAAUUUGGCCGUGACAAUUACUGUCAUGUGAUCAUGUUUCUGUUGGUUUUAACGACUAAAUCUUAAUAUGAAGUAGUUCUCUCAUAUCAGUUCUGCUACUUAACUUGAUUUGG
RNAcentral lists this unclassified non-coding RNA (936 nucleotides) under Zea mays. RNAcentral's name for it is "misc RNA Zm00001eb212790". Lineage: Eukaryota; Viridiplantae; Streptophyta; Magnoliopsida; Poales; Poaceae. The record is from RNAcentral.